CCCCGUCGUCUAGCGGCCCAGGACGGCGCCCUCUCACGGCGUUAACGGCGGUUCAAAUCCGCUCGGGGGUA
RNAcentral lists this transfer RNA (71 nucleotides) under Actinomycetota bacterium. RNAcentral describes it as "tRNA-Glu". It matches the Rfam family "tRNA". Rfam says of the family: Transfer RNA (tRNA) molecules are approximately 80 nucleotides in length. The record is from RNAcentral. Lineage: Bacteria; Bacillati; Actinomycetota.